GGAUGUGAGGGAGAUCUGGCUUUGGUUUACAUCAUCAUGUUGAUCAAUUAUCUCACUGGCCAGGAAGGUGGUCCGUGCUUCCUUAUUUCUCCAAAUGCAUCUCUCCCAAAGCUGCUCACGCUCCAGAAGGAGGUCAGGGCUUUGUUCAAGAAUAUAUGAGAAGUUUCAUUCCUCUAGCAGAGUCUCCAAAAAAACACACUUUUUGAAUGUGAUUAAAUCAACAGACUAGACCAGAACAUCU
This 241-nucleotide small nuclear RNA is filed under the name Equus caballus (horse). RNAcentral describes it as "7SK RNA". It matches the Rfam family "7SK RNA". From Rfam's summary of the family: 7SK was discovered as an abundant small nuclear RNA in the mid-70s but a possible function has only recently been suggested. Two independent studies have found that 7SK RNA binds the CDK9/cyclin T complex (known as elongation factor P-TEFb). The record is from Rfam by way of RNAcentral. Lineage: Eukaryota; Metazoa; Chordata; Mammalia; Perissodactyla; Equidae.